CGCCUGCGCUGUGGACGCUCCCGCCGGAAGUGGGCGGGAUAGCGUUCCAAUGCGGAAAGGGCAGUGAGAGCGCGGCGGAGGCGCUGGUGGCCGAGUGUGGGGUGGGGACUGUCCCCAAUGCGCCGCAGCAAGGUGGGCUGAUGGUGGAGGCUAAAGCAACUCUACCUUCCAGGCUUAUCCAUCAUUUGGACUUCUAAUUAACCUCAGUUCCCGGGAAGCCUCUAAGAUUUCUACAUUAUCUACUGUUAAGAGCAAGUAAUUACUGCAAAUCUGCCCUUGGGUCAAAACAACCUUGAUGGCAUAUUCCUUCUGAAGCACAUAUACUCUUUCCCUAGCUGCCUGCCCUGCAGACUUCAGUCUCCAGCAUCAGACACAGAGACCCAGCAUUAUGGAGACUGUCUAACCAGAUCUCACAAUUGUGGAAGAUCCCAACUCCUACAACAAAUCUCUUAAAAACCA
Non-coding RNA from Chlorocebus sabaeus (green monkey), 459 nucleotides. The record is from RefSeq and is a predicted model, not a curated record. Lineage: Eukaryota; Metazoa; Chordata; Mammalia; Primates; Cercopithecidae.